UACGAAGGGUGCAAACGUUGCUCGGAAUUAUUGGGCGUAAAGCGCACGUAGGCGGCUUUGCAAGUCGGAUGUGAAAUCCCUCGGCUUAACCAAGGAAGUGCAUCCGAAACUGCAGAGCUUGAGUACUUAAGAGGAUCGCGGAAUUCCCGGUGUAGAGGUGAAAUUCGUAGAUAUCGGGAGGAACACCAGUGGCGAAGGCGGCGACCUGGGCCAAUAUUGACGCUGAGGUGCGAAAGCGUGGGGAGCAAACAGG
RNAcentral lists this ribosomal RNA (253 nucleotides) under uncultured bacterium. Its description in RNAcentral is "partial 16S ribosomal RNA". It matches the Rfam family "Bacterial small subunit ribosomal RNA", at positions 524 to 776 of the family's 1533-position model. The record is from RNAcentral.